RNAcentral lists this ribosomal RNA (356 nucleotides) under uncultured bacterium. RNAcentral describes it as "bacterial SSU rRNA". It matches the Rfam family "Bacterial small subunit ribosomal RNA", at positions 527 to 881 of the family's 1533-position model. The record is from RNAcentral.
GUAGGGUGCGAGCGUUAAUCGGAAUUACUGGGCGUAAAGCGUGCGCAGGCGGUUUUGUAAGUCAGAUGUGAAAUCCCCGAGCUCAACUUGGGAACUGCGUUUGAAACUACAAGACUAGAAUAUGUCAGAGGGGGGUAGAAUUCCACGUGUAGCAGUGAAAUGCGUAGAGAUGUGGAGGAAUACCAAUGGCGAAGGCAGCCCCCUGGGAUAAUAUUGACGCUCAUGCACGAAAGCGUGGGGAGCAAACAGGAUUAGAUACCCUGGUAGUCCACGCCCUAAACGAUGUCUACUAGUUGUUGGUGGAGUAAAAUCCAUGAGUAACGCANCUAACGCGUGAAGUAGACCGCCUGGGGAGU